CGGCGGACGGGUGAGUAACGCGUGGGUAACCUGCCUCAUACAGGGGGAUAACAGUUAGAAAUGACUGCUAAUACCGCAUAAGACCACGGUACCGCAUGGUACAGUGGUAAAAACUCCGGUGGUAUGAGAUGGACCCGCGUCUGAUUAGGUAGUUGGUGGGGUAACGGCCUACCAAGGCGACGAUCGGUAGCCGGACUGAGAGGUUGAACGGCCACAUUGGGACUGAGACACGGCCCAG
RNAcentral lists this ribosomal RNA (238 nucleotides) under uncultured bacterium. RNAcentral's name for it is "partial 16S ribosomal RNA". It matches the Rfam family "Bacterial small subunit ribosomal RNA", at positions 96 to 334 of the family's 1533-position model. The record is from RNAcentral.